UACGAAGGGGGCUAGCGUUGCUCGGACUGACUGGGCGUAAAGGGCGCGUAGGCGGUUUGCAUAGUCAGACGUGAAAUUCCUGGGCUUAACCUGGGGGCUGCGUUUGAUACAUGCAGGCUUGAGUUCGGAAGAGGGUCGUGGAAUUCCCAGUGUAGAGGUGAAAUUCGUAGAUAUUGGGGAGAACACCGGUGGCGAAGGCGGCGACCUGGUCCGAUACUGACGCUGAGGCGCGAAAGCGUGGGGAGCAAACAGG
RNAcentral lists this ribosomal RNA (253 nucleotides) under uncultured bacterium. RNAcentral's name for it is "partial 16S ribosomal RNA". It matches the Rfam family "Bacterial small subunit ribosomal RNA", at positions 524 to 776 of the family's 1533-position model. The record is from RNAcentral.